ACCACAUCGUCCUGGACACUGGCUUUUUCUAAGUCACAUUUAAGCGAGGGAUAGAGAGGGGACAGGUCAUUGUGGCCAAACUGUAAAUUUCACAGUGCAGGUUUGUGUUGAAGAAGAAACCUUGUCAUUUCUGCGGUUCUCUCUGUUCCUGUGCUAAAAAACACGAUUUCCAGAAGUUUCUCUCAAAACAGCUCAUGUCCUGACAACGAUACAGGAAAGUGAUCUGAGAACACAAGGAAAGGACUUCUCAAAAACGCCAGGCACGGAGCAAUCUGGUCAGGAUCACUUGGGAUGGCACAGUGGAUGAGGGACACCAGACACCAAGUUUUUCAUUGAGUCUCCUGCAGCCCCUAUUGGGGUACCUCUUGGUAAGUUGGUUUUUGGGCAGGUCUUGUAUAUACUCUCCAGGAUACAGGUGUUGCUACAGGGGGACAGUCUUGCCUCAGCACUCUGUUUUCUUUCAGCAUCAUUUUUCCUUGGUUUGGAUUUCAUGAAAUAUCAGAAAGAGGCAGGACAGAAGUGUGUUCUGAGCCCUGGUUGCCAUCCUCUUGUUGUCAGGGCAUACAGUCUCUUGUUUGUAAGUCACCACCUGAUCUCAGCACAGACCUCCUGGGCAUGGCACAAGAAACUGUGUUCCGUCAAAACAAAUUCUCCACUUCAACUUUAGGCCUGCUACAAGAGUCCUAUGAAAUGCAAUUAAAGGAGCUCAGAAAAAUUCAGAUUGGAAGGCAUCUUCAGAGCUCACUGUUCUAAUAAUCUGCUCCAAGCAUGGCUGACCACAAAGCUAG
Cyanistes caeruleus (blue tit) is the source of this 788-nucleotide non-coding RNA. NCBI's taxonomy places the organism in Eukaryota, Metazoa, Chordata, Aves, Passeriformes, Paridae. The record is from RefSeq and is a predicted model, not a curated record.